GACGAACGCUGGCGGCAUGCCUAAUACAUGCAAGUCGAGCGGAGUUGAUAGGAAGCUUGCUUCCUUGAUACUUAGCGGCGGACGGGUGAGUAACACGUAGGCAACCUGCCCUCAAGUUUGGGACAACUACCGGAAACGGUAGCUAAUACCGAAUARUUGUUUUCUUCGCCUGAAGGRAACUGGAAAGACGGAGCAAUCUGUCACUUGGGGAUGGGCCUGCGGCGCAUUAGCUAGUUGGUGAGGUAACGGCUCACCAAGGCGACGAUGCGUAGCCGACCUGAGAGGGUGAUCGGCCACACUGGGACUGAGACACGGCCCAGACUCCUACGGGAGGCAGCAGUAGGGAAUCUUCCGCAAUGGGCGAAAGCCUGACGGAGCAAUGCCGCGUGAGUGAUGAAGGUUUUCGGAUCGUAAAGCUCUGUUGCCAGGGAAGAACGCUUGGGAGAGUAACUGCU
RNAcentral lists this ribosomal RNA (455 nucleotides) under Paenibacillus sp. R-43622. RNAcentral describes it as "bacterial SSU rRNA". It matches the Rfam family "Bacterial small subunit ribosomal RNA", at positions 28 to 469 of the family's 1533-position model. The record is from RNAcentral. Lineage: Bacteria; Bacillati; Bacillota; Bacilli; Caryophanales; Paenibacillaceae.